GGAGAGGUGUCCGAGUGGCCGAAGGAGCUUGUCUCGAAAACAAGUGUACUCUCUGGGUACCGCGGGUUCAAAUCCCGCUCUCUCCGCCA
RNAcentral lists this transfer RNA (89 nucleotides) under Clostridium polyendosporum. Its description in RNAcentral is "tRNA-Ser". It matches the Rfam family "tRNA". Rfam says of the family: Transfer RNA (tRNA) molecules are approximately 80 nucleotides in length. Their secondary structure includes four short double-helical elements and three loops (D, anti-codon, and T loops). Lineage: Bacteria; Bacillati; Bacillota; Clostridia; Eubacteriales; Clostridiaceae. The record is from RNAcentral.